Long non-coding RNA from Sphaeramia orbicularis (orbiculate cardinalfish), 1319 nucleotides. RefSeq lists it as uncharacterized. The record is from RefSeq and is a predicted model, not a curated record. NCBI's taxonomy places the organism in Eukaryota, Metazoa, Chordata, Actinopteri, Kurtiformes, Apogonidae. The transcript is spliced from 2 exons.
CAUUGCAUUUUUCAGUGCUGGGAACUGAAAGACUUGCCUUCUGACAAAUGUUCAGACUAUAAUAAUACAUUAUCAGAAUGCAAAAACACCCUGACUCCUGUAGUCGUGCUUUAAAAUGACAAGAAUUUCAACCUUCCAUCAUUGUCGUAGAAGUUACGACAUGAUUCAAGUCAAAACCAAAGGGUUCGCUGUCAUUAAGCCAAGUCUGCAACACUGCACUGAGUUUGUUGUACGACCUCCACAUUUUUGUCAAAGGGGGAACAACUCAUUCCCAAAUAACUACAUAUGAAGAUGGUUCAGUAGACUUAACCACUCUGUAUUCCAGCCUGCAUUUCUGCACACUCUUAAGAAAUCAAAAAACACAAAAAAAUGGCAUAAAGGUAAAUCAUACUGAGUUGUGUGAUCAGAUGUGGAGUCACAACAAGUGAAGCUAUGAAGCAAAAAUCUGGUAAGUUCAUGUUUUUGUUUUUCUCACAGAGGUUUCACAAUACCAAGUGUAAAUAUUUGUAACUACAAAAUGUUGAUGAACGCACAGAAAACGUAGUGUUCCAUUUCAUCUUGUGUUUUCAUCCAUUACAGGUUGUUUUUAAUUCUAUUUUCUUCCAUUACAAUAUUUGGAUAUGUUGAACACAGACAGCAGUAGGAUUUGACAGAUUAAAAACCAGGACAGUUGUUUUCAUUUGCAUUUGAGCUGAUAUGGUAGUGUGUGCUGUCCAGUGACCUUCUAUAAUAUAUAUUUAUGUCCAUAAUGAAAUCUAAAAACAAAUUUCUGGUGCUGUUGGGUGCAGAGUUCAGAAAGUGAACUCUGAUUUUUAGCUCAUAUUGUAAUGUGGUUGACACAUUCAGACACAAUGAGCAUAUGUAUUUCAACAGAAGAAACACAGCAAAAACCUAAAGGAAAAGGAGUAUGUAUCUAACAAUGCUAAGCUUUAAUAUUUAUUUUGCGUCUUUAAUGUUAAACUUACUAACCUUCUCAGGGGAGGGACUCAGCUAAUUUGACCCAAACCUUAGUUUAAAGGCAUUAUGGUUUAUUAUUUCUGCCCUCAAAAGCAUUUGUGCGUCCACAACACUUGAGUUGUGUGUCAGUGAGGACCAAACAGUGGUCUAGUGUUUGACCACUCAUGAACAUGCAUAAGACAUUGCCAUCACCUGCUUCUCUCACCUGUUCUCACCACCCUCCCAACCAGGAUCACUGUGUCAUACUCUGCUUUAAUUGAUGUUUGAAUCUUCUCCUAGGAUUUUACCCUCUCCAGGCUGGCUUCAAAUGGGGGGAGUCCACAGACAGUUGAUAGUCUUCUUGUAGGUAGAUGAAAAAAAAA